AGGAGGAGGUGGAGGUGAUCCGRSAGGUUUGUGUUCCACAAUWUUGAGAGACUUGUUGUUUUGCAGAUGACUCUGGAGGAGCAAGAGUGGCAGGACGGAGGACGGAGCUUUAACCAGGGAUGAUUCCAGAGUGGUGGUAAUCAAGGAGAUUGUCCACUGAUCCAGGAUCUACAGGUUCUCAGAGGUAACCCACAGUAGACUGUCUCAACAGUACCGAAGUGACUGAAUGAUCUCACGCAGACGCUUAAGUACCAGGUGGACUCAUCAACAGAAGUUGGAACAAGUGGUUAAUUGGAAGCUCCGCCUCUGCCACUCUGAAUCUGCAAGGUGAGGAGGAGAGUUUUUCCCUCCUCUUCCCAGAGGGAGAUGGGCGAGCGCUAUGCUCACAGCAUAUAAGAGGAUCACACGGCAGUGAUGAGGACUUGGCCAUUUCAUGGCAACUCUCUGCUGUGACAGAUGGGCAGUGUGCUAUUGCCAUAGCCUGAAGUUGAAAAAAACCCAAGCUGCUUACUGAGGUACUGUACAGUCUCGGGGAGCUGAACUUGGACUACAACCCUUCAUGUACUAUGAGAGGCUUUUUGAUAUCCACRGAUUUGCU
Molecule: long non-coding RNA, 598 nt
Organism: Austrofundulus limnaeus
Lineage: Eukaryota; Metazoa; Chordata; Actinopteri; Cyprinodontiformes; Rivulidae
Exons: 4
Source: RefSeq, a predicted model, not a curated record